Molecule: ribosomal RNA, 337 nt
Filed under: Ozobranchus margoi
Lineage: Eukaryota; Metazoa; Annelida; Clitellata; Hirudinida; Ozobranchidae
Description: eukaryotic LSU rRNA
Rfam family: Eukaryotic large subunit ribosomal RNA
Source: RNAcentral
AUUAAUAAGCGGAGGAAAAGAAACUAACAAGGAUUCCCUUAGUAACGGCGAGUGAAGCGGGAAUAGCCCAACACCGAAUCUUACGCUGUUAAGCGUUAGGAAUUGUGGUGUUUGAGUCAGUUUGCAGUAAAAUAUAAGUCAAGAUUAAAGUCUUUUUGAUUGAGGCCAUUGCCCAUAGCGGGUGUUAGGCCUUUAAAUCUUUACUGGCUAUAAUUUUACAUAAACUGUCUUUAGAGUCGGGUUGUUUGAGAUUGCAGCCCAAAGUAGGUGGUAGACUCCAUCUAAGGCUAAAUACAGGCACGAGUCCGAUAGCAAACAAGUACCGUGAGGGAAAGUU